CAACUUACCUGGCAGGGGAGAUACCAUGAUCACAAAGCUGGUUUUCCCAGGGCAAGGCUUAUCCAUUGCACUCUGGAUGUGCUGACCUCUGCGAUUUCCCCAAAUGUGGGAAACUCGACUGCAUAAUUUGUGGUAGUGGGGGACUGUGUUCGUGCUUUCCCCUG
Molecule: small nuclear RNA, 164 nt
Filed under: Cebus imitator (Panamanian white-faced capuchin)
Lineage: Eukaryota; Metazoa; Chordata; Mammalia; Primates; Cebidae
Description: U1 spliceosomal RNA (ENSCCAG00000019352.1)
Rfam family: U1 spliceosomal RNA
About the family: U1 is a small nuclear RNA (snRNA) component of the spliceosome (involved in pre-mRNA splicing). Its 5' end forms complementary base pairs with the 5' splice junction, thus defining the 5' donor site of an intron.
Source: Rfam by way of RNAcentral